RNAcentral lists this unclassified non-coding RNA (1558 nucleotides) under Hevea brasiliensis (rubber tree). The record is from RNAcentral. Lineage: Eukaryota; Viridiplantae; Streptophyta; Magnoliopsida; Malpighiales; Euphorbiaceae.
CGCCAAGUUUCUCUGGACAGUUUAACUGUGAUGUACAAAAACAGACAUGGAUGAUAAAUUUGUUCCAAGAUGCUGUGCUGUAUGAAAUCCAUAUUUCGUGACUUCAUGUAUUGCAUUUGCUAAGUAAUUUACAUUGCCUGUAGUAACACCGGCCAUACUCAUUCGUCCAUCAUGAGUCAUAUAAAUGUGGAAUUCCCUUGCUAGCCAAUCAACCUGUUUGGGGGUUAAGCCAGAGAAACAAAACAUCCCAACCUGGUUUGUUAUAUGUUGCCAAUUGAGAGAAGAACCCAAUUGCCAAAGGCUUUCCUGCAGAUUAGUACGCAUUGUUUGAAUGCAAUUUGCCAUGCCCUUCACCUCCUUGACCCAAAGUGCCUUUAUAUCUGGAUCACUCAGGACAGUAGAGACUAGUGAUGUACCAUGAACAGGAGGGCUACUAUACAUUGCCCUAGCAAUCUUCUGCAAUUGGCUUUUGAUUGCAACUGCUUGCUUCAUAUCAUUGCAAAGAACACUAAGACAACCAACUCGGUGUCCAUAUAAUCCCAUGUUCUUUGCAAAGGACUGAGCACAGCCUAACAAAUGCCCAUCUUCAAGAAAAAUACGAAUGGAUAAAGCAUCCCUGUCAAGGUCCCCGCUUGCAAACCCUUGGUAAGCCAUGUCGAAGAAGGGAAAAUGAUUCUUCACCUUGAACUGAUGUGAGAUUUCUCUCCACUGUUCCUCAGUAGGAUCAACACCAGUGGGAUUGUGAGCACAAGGGUGGAGCAGGAAAAAGGAACCAUCUGGGGCAUUCUUUACGUCAUCCAUGAGAGCGGUAAAAUUUAAACCCUUCAAAUCAGGAUGGUAGUAGCUAAAGGUAUUCUGUUGAACUUGAGCAUCUCUCCAUAUGUUAUGGUGGUUGGACCAAGUAGGAUUGGGCAAAUAUAUUUGAGAUUCAGGAUGGAAACGCUUCUGGAACUCAGCAAAGAGGCGGCAUGCACCAGUUCCUGAGAGUGCUUGAACACCAGCAUACCUUCCUUCUUUUAUAACAUCUGAAUCCUUACCGUAAACCAAUUUGACACUCUCCUCGACCAAUUUUGAACUCACAGCUGAUGAAAUAGACUCCAAGAAGUCACAACCCGCAAUCUUUGCUUCAGCAUCUCGAAGGCACUGAAGGAUAAUAGGUUUACCCUCAUCGUCCCUAUAAGCUCCCACUCCAAGAUUGAUCUUGACGGGGCUAGUGUCAGCAAGAAAAGCCUCCGUGACACUAGUGAUGGGGUCCUUAGGAGCAGGGCAGACGUGAUCCCACCAAUGAAGGGCUCUGAUCGAGGUUGAGAAGCAUCUGGAUGUUGUCAUCAACUGGUGUCUCCACAUGAUGAAGUUGCAGUGGAUUCAGGAUGGGUCUGAGCAGGUAGCCCAAAAAUUUCCUUAUAUUCACCAUGGAAAAUUGGAAAAGAGGUUAUUGAUAAAGGUGUCAUCUUCUUGCAUACUUGGCUCGUGGUUUUGAAAAGGGUUUUCCAGUGGGUAGAAGAGUGUUCCUCGGCACAAGGGUUUUACUAGUCAUCACAGUUAUUCAGACAGUCAA